UGAUAAAUAUUUUUACAUAUUAUUUUACAAUUUUCAUCAAUCGCCGUAUUCUUUAAUAAAAACGGUUCACAAUAGUUAUUGUGCUGUAAAUAGCAAUAUUUCGAAUAUUUAUUUAUUUAUUGCUUUCCAGAAGUUAGUUGAAAAUUGCAGGAAAUCAAGAAAUAGAUAGUUGCAGUCAAAAGAAAUAUUGAUAGCUCGCCAAGGCACCGAAAACUAAAUGCAGUGAUAAUUUUAUUGGUGACAAAAAGUGAAAGGAAUAGUUCCCGUCAUAGUUAUCAACAAACAAUAUUUCCUAUAAUCUUCACAAAACAUUAAACUAUUUGCCAUAAUGCAUACUUUGCAAUUGGCAGGAGGUACCAAUGCUUAGCAUGAUAAUCAAGAAACUUUUCAAAGAAUUUGAUGAAUAAAAUUGGCCUAUAAA
Molecule: long non-coding RNA, 421 nt
Filed under: Leguminivora glycinivorella
Lineage: Eukaryota; Metazoa; Arthropoda; Insecta; Lepidoptera; Tortricidae
Description: uncharacterized LOC125241974
Source: RNAcentral